RNAcentral lists this ribosomal RNA (494 nucleotides) under uncultured bacterium. Its description in RNAcentral is "bacterial SSU rRNA". It matches the Rfam family "Bacterial small subunit ribosomal RNA", at positions 28 to 509 of the family's 1533-position model. The record is from RNAcentral.
GAUGAACGCUAGCUACAGGCUUAACACAUGCAAGUCGAGGGGCGAGCAUGGUCUUAGCUUGCUAAGGCCGAUGGCGACCGGCGCACGGGUGAGUAACACGUAUCCAACCUGCCGUCUACUCUUGGACAGCCUUCUGAAAGGAAGAUUAAUACAAGAUGGCAUCAUGAGUUCACAUGUUCACAUGAUUAAAGGUAUUCCGGUAGACGAUGGGGAUGCGUUCCAUUAGAUAGUAGGCGGGGUAACGGCCCACCUAGUCUUCGAUGGAUAGGGGUUCUGAGAGGAAGGUCCCCCACAUUGGAACUGAGACACGGUCCAAACUCCUACGGGAGGCAGCAGUGAGGAAUAUUGGUCAAUGGGCGCAGGCCUGAACCAGCCAAGUAGCGUGACGGAUGAAGGUCCUAUGGAUUGUAAACUUCUUUUAUACGGGAAUAAAGUGCAGUAUGCAUACUGUUUUGUAUGUAACCGUAUGAAUAAGGAUCGGCUAACUCCGUGCC